RNAcentral lists this ribosomal RNA (534 nucleotides) under Salmonella enterica subsp. enterica serovar Rissen. RNAcentral describes it as "bacterial SSU rRNA". It matches the Rfam family "Bacterial small subunit ribosomal RNA", at positions 999 to 1533 of the family's 1533-position model. The record is from RNAcentral. Lineage: Bacteria; Pseudomonadati; Pseudomonadota; Gammaproteobacteria; Enterobacterales; Enterobacteriaceae.
UCCAGAGAUGGACUGGUGCCUUCGGGAACCGUGAGACAGGUGCUGCAUGGCUGUCGUCAGCUCGUGUUGUGAAAUGUUGGGUUAAGUCCCGCAACGAGCGCAACCCUUAUCCUUUGUUGCCAGCGGUUAGGCCGGGAACUCAAAGGAGACUGCCAGUGAUAAACUGGAGGAAGGUGGGGAUGACGUCAAGUCAUCAUGGCCCUUACGACCAGGGCUACACACGUGCUACAAUGGCGCAUACAAAGAGAAGCGACCUCGCGAGAGCAAGCGGACCUCAUAAAGUGCGUCGUAGUCCGGAUUGGAGUCUGCAACUCGACUCCAUGAAGUCGGAAUCGCUAGUAAUCGUGGAUCAGAAUGCCACGGUGAAUACGUUCCCGGGCCUUGUACACACCGCCCGUCACACCAUGGGAGUGGGUUGCAAAAGAAGUAGGUAGCUUAACCUUCGGGAGGGCGCUUACCACUUUGUGAUUCAUGACUGGGGUGAAGUCGUAACAAGGUAACCGUAGGGGAACCUGCGGUUGGAUCACCUCCUUA